Molecule: small nuclear RNA, 151 nt
Filed under: Chelydra serpentina (North American snapping turtle)
Lineage: Eukaryota; Metazoa; Chordata; Testudines; Chelydridae
Description: U1 spliceosomal RNA (ENSCSRG00000008401.1)
Rfam family: U1 spliceosomal RNA
About the family: U1 is a small nuclear RNA (snRNA) component of the spliceosome (involved in pre-mRNA splicing). Its 5' end forms complementary base pairs with the 5' splice junction, thus defining the 5' donor site of an intron.
Source: Rfam by way of RNAcentral
ACCCUUACCUGGCAGGGGAGAUACCAUGAUCACCCAGGGUGAGGCUCAUCUAUUGCACUGCUGGGAUGCUGACCCCUGCGAUUUCCCCAAAUGUGGGAAAUUUGACUGCAUAAUUUGUGGUAGUGGGGGACUGCAUUCGUGCUUUCCCCUG